RNAcentral lists this ribosomal RNA (403 nucleotides) under Verrucomicrobiota bacterium. RNAcentral describes it as "Verrucomicrobia bacterium partial 16S ribosomal RNA". It matches the Rfam family "Bacterial small subunit ribosomal RNA", at positions 355 to 776 of the family's 1533-position model. The record is from RNAcentral. Lineage: Bacteria; Pseudomonadati; Verrucomicrobiota.
UGGGGAAUAUUGCACAAUGGGGGAAACCCUGCUGCAGCGACGCCGCGUGAGCGAAGAAGGCUUUCGAGUCGUAAAGCUCUGUCCUAUGAGAAGAUAAUGACGGUAUCAUAGGAGGAAGCCCUGGCUAAAUACGUGCCAGCAGCCGCGGUAAUACGUAUGGGGCGAGCGUUGUCCGGAAUUAUUGGGCGUAAAGGGUACGUAGGCGGUUUUUUAAGUCAGGUGUCAAAGCGUGGAGCUUAACUCCAUUAAGCACUUGAAACUGAAAGACUUGAGUGAAGGAGAGGAAAGUGGAAUUCCUAGUGUAGCGGUGAAAUGCGCAGAUAUUAGGAGGAAUACCGGUGGCGAAGGCGACUUUCUGGCCAUAAUCUGACGCUGAGGUACGAAAGCGUGGGUAGCAAACAGG